Molecule: ribosomal RNA, 335 nt
Filed under: Tityus metuendus
Lineage: Eukaryota; Metazoa; Arthropoda; Arachnida; Scorpiones; Buthidae
Description: partial 12S ribosomal RNA
Source: RNAcentral
UCUUAGAAAUUAAACUUAAGUAGUAAAGAAAUUUCCAAAACUUAAAGAAUUUGGCGGUGUUUUAAUCUUAUCAGAGGAACCUGCUUUCUAACCGACAGUACACGAAAACCUUACUUCUUCUAAAACUUGUAUAUCGUCGUAAAAAUUAUAUUUUUAAAUCAUAAUUGAUAAGAAUUUUAUUCUUUACAUCAGAUCAAGGUUCAGUAAAUGAAGAAGGCUAAAGUGGGUUACAAUGCAACCUCAUGCAAACGAAAUCUUAAAUGAAAAUAAAGAAGAAGGCGGAUUUAAGAGUAUUAAUAGAAAGUUUUCUAAUUUGAAUUAGCAAUAAAACAUGC